ACAGUUUCUUGUAGUUCUCUUAUGUUCAUUGCACAAAAAACCUCACACUUUGGCAAUUAAAAAUACACUAAUAUUAGUGGUUGAGGCAUAUUCAAGGUUGCAGGGAACACAUAUCGUCUCUAGAAAGAAGUUGCAGUUCAUUGCACCAACUUGCUCACGUCAACCGGGAAGCUUUGAGUGCGGAUAUUAUGUCAUGAGGCACAUGCAGAAAAUUAUAUCCGCAAAUAUCGUUG
Molecule: long non-coding RNA, 233 nt
Organism: Vigna angularis (adzuki bean)
Lineage: Eukaryota; Viridiplantae; Streptophyta; Magnoliopsida; Fabales; Fabaceae
Exons: 3
Source: RefSeq, a predicted model, not a curated record